Molecule: unclassified non-coding RNA, 578 nt
Filed under: Hevea brasiliensis (rubber tree)
Lineage: Eukaryota; Viridiplantae; Streptophyta; Magnoliopsida; Malpighiales; Euphorbiaceae
Source: RNAcentral
CUAACCUUUCCCAUUGAUCAAUUAUUAUAUGUGCUCUUGAUACACAUACAAGAAAACAAAAAAGAAUGAUGAAUUGAAAUCGACCCAUCACAAAGAGAGGUUUUAGAUAGAGUGAUCAAAUGUAAACGAUUUAUAAUUCCUAAGGUUUAAUCAGUAUCCAUAAAUGGCCUGCCAAACUGACCAUUUACACUUCAAUGUAGGGUUGACAUGAUAUGAAAAGAAUGUAAGGAGGCUGGAGAUAACGAAAACCUAUGGUUUAUGAUCCUUGCAUCUUGCCUUUAUUUAUUGCAACUCUUAAUCAUCUUCUCUUUCAGGUGGAAGGCCACACGGCAAAAGCAUUUUCUGCAUAAAAUUGUAACGUUCUCUUCCAAUUGAUUCAUUUUCUGCAAUGGCAAAAUACGCCAACAUUGGAUAGUGCCCAACAUAGGACGCAUAGCUAUCGCGCUGAAUGUUUACCGCCCACUCAAAUCUAGUCAAAUCGGCAUGUCCUGUUCCAACAUAUUUAGCUUGUAAGUGCUCAAGCUGGGAGUUGAUGUUGAACCUGUCACUAGCCUGCAUUUUUUUUUUUGUACAGUGAG